Molecule: ribosomal RNA, 497 nt
Filed under: uncultured bacterium
Lineage: Bacteria
Description: partial 16S ribosomal RNA
Rfam family: Bacterial small subunit ribosomal RNA
Source: RNAcentral
GACGAACGCUGGCGGCGUGCCUAAUACAUGCAAGUCGAGCGCACAGGUGUGGUGCUUGUACCUCCGGGGUGAGCAGCGGACGGGUGAGUAACACGUGGAUAAUCUACCUUUGAGCGUGGGACAACUUUGGGAAACGAAUGCUAAUACCGCAUAAAAUCUUUAAACACAUGGUUCAAGAUUGAAAGAUGCAAUUGCAUCAAUCAAAAGUGAUCCCGCGUUGUCUUAGCCAGGUUGGUAAGUAAAGGCUCACCAAAGCGAAGAAUGAUAGCCGGCCUGAGAGGGGGGACCGCCCACAUUGGAACUGGAAACCGGCCCAAACCCCUACGGGAGGCGCCGGAAGGGAAUCUUCGGCAAUGAGCGAAGUCCGGACGGAGCAAGCCGGGGUGGGUGAUGAGGGUCUUGGGAUCGUAAAACUUUGUUGUUGGGGAGGAACAAAUGUGUAAUUAAAUAUGCACGUAUUGACGGUACCUAAUCAGAAAGCCACGGCUAACUACGUG